GACGAACGCUGGCGGCGUGCCUAAUACAUGCAAGUAGAACGCACAGUUUAUACCGUAGCUUGCUACACCAUAGACUGUGAGUUGCGAACGGGUGAGUAACGCGUAGGUAACCUGCCUGGUAGCGGGGGAUAACUAUUGGAAACGAUAGCUAAUACCGCAUAAUAUUAAUUAUUGCAUGAUAAUUAAUUGAAAGGUGCAAUUGCACCACUACCAGAUGGACCUGCGUUGUAUUAGCUAGUAGGUGAGGUAACGGCUCACCUAGGCGACGAUACAUAGCCGACCUGAGAGGGGGAUCGGCCACACUGGGACUGAGACACGGCCCAGACUCCUACGGGAGGCAGCAGUAGGGAAUCUUCGGCAAUGGACGAAAGUCUGACCGAGCAACGCCGCGUGAGUGAAGAAGGUUGUCGGAUCGUAAAGCUCUGUUGUAAGAGAAGAACGGGUGUGAGAGUGGAAAGUUCACACUGUGACGGUAUCUUACCAGAAAGGGACGGCUAACUACGUG
This 505-nucleotide ribosomal RNA is filed under the name uncultured bacterium. Its description in RNAcentral is "partial 16S ribosomal RNA". It matches the Rfam family "Bacterial small subunit ribosomal RNA", at positions 28 to 507 of the family's 1533-position model. The record is from RNAcentral.